GACGAACGCUGGCGGCGUGCUUAACACAUGCAAGUCGAACGCUGAAGCUCAGCUUUUGUUGGGUGGAUGAGUGGCGAACGGGUGAGUAACACGUGAGUAACCUGCCUCCUUCUUUGGGAUAACGCCCGGAAACGGGUGCUAAUACUGGAUAUUCACUGGUCUUCGCAUGGGGGUUGGUGGAAAGGGUUUUUCUGGUGGGGGAUGGGCUCGCGACCUAUCAGCUUGUUGGUGGGGUGAUGGCCUACCAAGGCUUUGACGGGUAGCCGGCCUGAGAGGGUGACCGGUCACAUUGGGACUGAGAUACGGCCCAGACUCCUACGGGAGGCAGCAGUGGGGAAUAUUGCACAAUGGGCGCAAGCCUGAUGCAGCGACGCCGCGUGAGGGAUGGAGGCCUUCGGGUUGUGAACCUCUUUCGCUCAUGGUCAAGCCGCAACAAUGGUUGUGGUGAGGGUAGUGGGUAAAGAAGCGCCGGCUAACUACGUG
This 483-nucleotide ribosomal RNA is filed under the name uncultured bacterium. RNAcentral's name for it is "partial 16S ribosomal RNA". It matches the Rfam family "Bacterial small subunit ribosomal RNA", at positions 28 to 507 of the family's 1533-position model. The record is from RNAcentral.